GCUGCUGGAAUUGUGCAUUUUUAAAACAACAAGCAUUAUGAUUACUUAGAUGUUUCGAUACCUGUAUCAUAAAAAAUGAACUUACUUUAUUUUGCUUUAUUUUGUAGAUUUUUCUGAAAAUGAAGUUGAGAACUAAGCUCAUGGUACUGGCUGCAGGUCAUUAUCUUAAGGAUUAAAAUUUGGAAGCCCAUUUAGAAUGUCUUGGCCAGAGAAGGGUGGUAGGAAACCUGAAGUGUCAUUACUAAAUCUGAGGCAUCUGCAGGAGACCCCUGAUGCUACUGGUGCCACGGUUUUUGGGAGCGCUUACCGUUGACCUGCAUUCUGUCCACCAUGAAGCAGAAGGUGCUGGACAUGAGAGAGGGUGGUAAGUGAGAUCAAAGUACCCACACAGCUGCUUGGCGAGAAGCAAGAAGCCCCAGCAGGGUGGGGUAAGUGGAGUAGAGAGGUGAGGGCGAGGU
RNAcentral lists this long non-coding RNA (458 nucleotides) under Calidris pugnax (ruff). Its description in RNAcentral is "lncRNA (ENSCPUG00000007700.1)". Lineage: Eukaryota; Metazoa; Chordata; Aves; Charadriiformes; Scolopacidae. The record is from RNAcentral.